RNAcentral lists this ribosomal RNA (429 nucleotides) under Pseudomonadota bacterium. Its description in RNAcentral is "Proteobacteria bacterium partial 16S ribosomal RNA". It matches the Rfam family "Bacterial small subunit ribosomal RNA", at positions 355 to 776 of the family's 1533-position model. The record is from RNAcentral. Lineage: Bacteria; Pseudomonadati; Pseudomonadota.
UGGGGAAUAUUGGACAAUGGGCGAAAGCCUGAUCCAGCCAUGCCGCGUGUGUGAAGAAGGUCUUCGGAUUGUAAAGCACUUUAAGUUGGGAGGAAGGGCAGUAAGCGAAUACCUUGCUGUUUUGACGUUACCGACAGAAUAAGCACCGGCUAACUCUGUGCCAGCAGCCGCGGUAAUACAGAGGGUGCAAGCGUUAAUCGGAAUUACUGGGCGUAAAGCGCGCGUAGGUGGUUCGUUAAGUUGAAUGUGAAAGCCCCGGGCUCAACCUGGGAACUGCAUCCAAAACUGGCGGGCUAGAGUAGGGCAGAGGGUGGUGGAAUUUCCUGUGUAGCGGUGAAAUGCGUAGAUAUAGGAAGGAACACCAGUGGCGAAGACGGCCACCUGGGCUCAUACUGACACUGAGGUGCGAAAGCGUGGGGAGCAAACAGG